RNAcentral lists this ribosomal RNA (678 nucleotides) under bacterium. Its description in RNAcentral is "bacterial SSU rRNA". It matches the Rfam family "Bacterial small subunit ribosomal RNA", at positions 77 to 748 of the family's 1533-position model. The record is from RNAcentral.
AGCUUGCUGCUUCGCUGACGAGUGGCGGACGGGUGAGUAAUGUCUGGGAAACUGCCUGAUGGAGGGGGAUAACUACUGGAAACGGUAGCUAAUACCGCAUAACGUCGCAAGACCAAAGAGGGGGACCUUCGGGCCUCUUGCCAUCGGAUGUGCCCAGAUGGGAUUAGCUAGUAGGUGGGGUAACGGCUCACCUAGGCGACGAUCCCUAGCUGGUCUGAGAGGAUGACCAGCCACACUGGAACUGAGACACGGUCCAGACUCCUACGGGAGGCAGCAGUGGGGAAUAUUGCACAAUGGGCGCAAGCCUGAUGCAGCCAUGCCGCGUGUAUGAAGAAGGCCUUCGGGUUGUAAAGUACUUUCAGCGGGGAGGAAGGCGGUGAGGUUAAUAACCUCAUCGAUUGACGUUACCCGCAGAAGAAGCACCGGCUAACUCCGUGCCAGCAGCCGCGGUAAUACGGAGGGUGCAAGCGUUAAUCGGAAUUACUGGGCGUAAAGCGCACGCAGGCGGUCUGUCAAGUCGGAUGUGAAAUCCCCGGGCUCAACCUGGGAACUGCAUUCGAAACUGGCAGGCUAGAGUCUUGUAGAGGGGGGUAGAAUUCCAGGUGUAGCGGUGAAAUGCGUAGAGAUCUGGAGGAAUACCGGUGGCGAAGGCGGCCCCCUGGACAAAGACUGACGCUC